This 716-nucleotide unclassified non-coding RNA is filed under the name Amphibalanus amphitrite. RNAcentral describes it as "uncharacterized LOC122365709, transcript variant X1". Lineage: Eukaryota; Metazoa; Arthropoda; Thecostraca; Balanomorpha; Balanidae. The record is from RNAcentral.
GUGACGGGGGGAGGGGUGCAGCGGGCGGCGUCAGCAGCUCGGGCGGUGCUGGUGGUCGCGGCUCGAGCGGACACCCUCCCGAGUCCCGCUGUGUCGCGCCAGGCGGGUGCGGCGGCCGCGCUGAUGCCGGUGAUCCCACGCACGGUGAUGCGAGUGACGUCGGUGACGUUUGUUUUGGUGGCGGCCGCAGUGGUCGGACAUGCCGCGCUUCAUGGCCAAAUCAACGGAAAGGGUGAGGCGCUGCCCCGGACCGGUACUGCCUGUGUCACGCUGCCACCGGCUGUGACCUGGCCUCCACCUGCACGGGCCCGGGGUCACAGGGGUCGGCUGAUCUCUGCGGACCGUUUCACAUGUCACGACCGUUUUGGCAAGAUUCCAACGUCACAGCUAUAGAGAGAUUCCGACAAUUCGACUUUCAGCACUGUGCCGCCGAUAUCGAGUGUGCCGCUGCAGCAGUGACGUCAUACAUGACCCAACUCAGUCGGGAUUGUGACGGGGACGGCCGCGUGACCUGUCGAGACUACGGUCUGAUGCACUUCCUGGGCUACGCCGCCUGUCUGAGUCCGGCCGAGCGGCAGCGGGCGGCCAGCAGCACCUUCCACGGCGCCUUCGUCCAGUGCCUCUCCGACAUGGAUGCCCUUCUGACGGCGGGAGCGAUGCAAAACCUCCUCCCCGGAUGUCGGUCAGACUCGGUGUAAAUACAUAUACGGUUUAUA